GAGUGAAAUUGAAGUCGCGUGUUUGCAUUAGUUUUUUGAAUUGCUGUUGGGGCUGGGGCUGCGUGAUCGUCACUGGCGUCCUCCAGAGUGCCCACCGAUCGGAAAGUCGUACGUACCGCAAGCUUUGAACGUCUCUUUAUCGCACCAUCGAAAGCGGCGGCACAGAAAGCGCGAUGCGAGCUCCGGUGGGAACAGCAGCCCUUUGUCUCGUAACGCCCGCAACUGAGGGACGUAGUAGGAAGUGGAGCUGACGUUGCUAUCUCUACAAUAGCCGGAGAAGACGAAACAAUUUUUGCAAUGCACACGGACUGGCUCAGUUGUGAAUGUCACAAACGCUCCCCUAACGAGGAUCAAAUCAAUGAACGGCUAGCCUUGAUAAAUAAUAUUCUUGAGGCGAAGAGGAUGUACCCAUACAUGAUGAGCUUU
Molecule: long non-coding RNA, 426 nt
Organism: Dermacentor silvarum
Lineage: Eukaryota; Metazoa; Arthropoda; Arachnida; Ixodida; Ixodidae
Exons: 3
Source: RefSeq, a predicted model, not a curated record